UACGGAGGAUCCGAGCGUUAUCCGGAUUUAUUGGGUUUAAAGGGUGCGCAGGCGGGAGAUUAAGUCGGCGGUGAAAUUUUGCAGCUCAACUGUAAAAGUGCCUUCGAUACUGGUUUCCUUGAGUGUGGAUGAAGUAGGCGGAAUUUGUGGUGUAGCGGUGAAAUGCUUAGAUAUCACGAGGAACUCCGAUUGCGCAGGCAGCUUACUAAACCACUACUGACGCUCAGGCACGAAGGCGUGGGGAUCAAACAGGAUUAGAUACCCGCGUA
Molecule: ribosomal RNA, 269 nt
Filed under: uncultured prokaryote
Description: partial 16S ribosomal RNA
Rfam family: Bacterial small subunit ribosomal RNA
Source: RNAcentral